AAUACAGAACGCUGCCGAAGACAGUAGGUGCCGUAAGGCAUAAGGAUCAAAACGCCUACCGAGGACUGAGUAUUCUGAUGAGAUUCAGGAACCCUUGCUGUCAUGAUGCGGCAAGGGCUUUUUUUAUGU
This 129-nucleotide small RNA is filed under the name uncultured Blautia sp. RNAcentral's name for it is "Ribosomal protein L10 leader". It matches the Rfam family "Ribosomal protein L10 leader". From Rfam's summary of the family: This family is a putative r-protein leader autoregulatory structure found in B. subtilis and other low-GC Gram-positive bacteria. The record is from RNAcentral. Lineage: Bacteria; Bacillati; Bacillota; Clostridia; Lachnospirales; Lachnospiraceae.